RNAcentral lists this ribosomal RNA (1285 nucleotides) under metagenome. RNAcentral's name for it is "bacterial SSU rRNA". It matches the Rfam family "Bacterial small subunit ribosomal RNA", at positions 242 to 1520 of the family's 1533-position model. The record is from RNAcentral.
UAGCUAGUUGGUGAGGUAAAGGCUUACCAAGGCGACGAUCUGUAGCGGGUCUGAGAGGAUGAUCCGCCACACUGGAACUGAGACACGGUCCAGACUCCUACGGGAGGCAGCAGUGGGGAAUUUUGGACAAUGGGGUCAACCCUGAUCCAGCCAUGCCGCGUGAGUGAAGAAGGCCUUCGGGUUGUAAAGCUCUUUCGGCCGGGAAGAAAUCGCAUGGGCCAAUACCCUGUGUGGAUGACGGUACCGGAAUAAGAAGCACCGGCUAACUACGUGCCAGCAGCCGCGGUAAUACGUAGGGUGCGAGCGUUAAUCGGAAUUACUGCGUAAAGCGUGCGCAGGCGGUUUUGUAAGACAGGCGUGAAAUCCCCGGGCUUAACCUGGGAACUGCGUUUGUGACUGCAAGGCUAGAGUACGGCAGAGGGGGGUGGAAUUCCACGUGUAGCAGUGAAAUGCGUAGAGAUGUGGAGGAACACCAAUGGCGAAGGCAGCCCCCUGGGUCGAUACUGACGCUCAUGCACGAAAGCGUGGGUAGCAAACAGGAUUAGAUACCCUGGUAGUCCACGCCCUAAACUAUGUCAACUAGGUGUUGGGUGGGUAAAACCAUUUAGUACCGUAGCUAACGCGUGAAGUUGACCGCCUGGGGAGUACGGCCGCAAGGUUAAAACUCAAAGGAAUUGACGGGGACCCGCACAAGCGGUGGAUGAUGUGGAUUAAUUCGAUGCAACGCGAAAAACCUUACCUACCCUUGACAUGCCAGGAACUUGCCAGAGAUGGCUUGGUGCCCGAAAGGGAGCCUGGACACAGGUGCUGCAUGGCUGUCGCCAGCUCGUGUCGUGAGAUGUUGGGUUAAGUCCCGCAACGAGCGCAACCCUUGUCGUUAAUUGCCAUCAUUUGGUUGGGCACUUUAACGAGACUGCCGGUGACAAACCGGAGGAAGGUGGGGAUGACGUCAAGUCCUCAUGGCCCUUAUGGGUAGGGCUUCACACGUCAUACAAUGGUCGGUACAAAGGGUUGCCAAGCCGCGAGGCGGAGCCAAUCCCAGAAAGCCGAUCGUAGUCCGGAUUGCAGGCUGCAACUCGCCUGCAUGAAGUCGGAAUCGCUAGUAAUCGUGGAUCAGCAUGUCACGGUGAAUACGUUCCCGGGUCUUGUACACACCGCCCGUCACACCAUGGGAGCGGGUUCCGCCAGAAGUGGGUAGCCUAACCGCAAGGAGGGCGCUUACCACGGCGGGGUUCGUGACUGGGGUGAAGUCGAAACAAGGUAGCCGUAGGGGAACCUGCGGCUG